UACGUAGGGUGCAAGCGUUAAUCGGAAUUACUGGGCGUAAAGCGUGCGCAGGCGGUUUUGUAAGACAGGCGUGAAAUCCCCGGGCUUAACCUGGGAAUGGUGCUUGUGACUGCAAGGCUGGAGUGCGGCAGAGGGGGAUGGAAUUCCGCGUGUAGCAGUGAAAUGCGUAGAUAUGCGGAGGAACACCGAUGGCGAAGGCAAUCCCCUGGGCCUGCACUGACGCUCAUGCACGAAAGCGUGGGGAGCAAACAGG
RNAcentral lists this ribosomal RNA (253 nucleotides) under uncultured bacterium. RNAcentral's name for it is "partial 16S ribosomal RNA". It matches the Rfam family "Bacterial small subunit ribosomal RNA", at positions 524 to 776 of the family's 1533-position model. The record is from RNAcentral.